Long non-coding RNA from Scatophagus argus, 1500 nucleotides. RefSeq lists it as uncharacterized. The transcript is spliced from 4 exons. Lineage: Eukaryota; Metazoa; Chordata; Actinopteri; Scatophagidae. The record is from RefSeq and is a predicted model, not a curated record.
AUGCCCUCGCUCCUCAUGUUCCUCCUCACGUUCUCCCUGAGGAUGGAGCGGAUCACCUUGAUGAUGUUGACUUUGCUCUCUGGCACACUGAGGAGGACACAGCAGAGACAUCAUAGUAACAUGAGCACAGGUGCAAUAAGUGCAUUCAACUAUGUGGCUAAACUGCUGGACUGUUUACAACGCUACCGACCACUUGGCCUGUUGAACAUCCCAGACCUCAUUACUUUGUGCAGAGAGUGGAAUGAGCCAACGGAACUUAAAGGGGUCCGAAUCUCCGUGAGAAAGUGCUGAACGAGGGUUGGUCUGGUCAUCACAUAGAAAAUGCCAUCUUGUUGUUUUCCCUGUAGACCAAUAUCACCGCUUUCUUGAACACUGGUGAGAGAGAGAGAACACAUCAGCGUCUUACUUUUGACUGUGAAUGCCUCUUGGGGAAAGCUGACUGAAGGAGAGGAACCCCACAAAAGUGUUUUAGAUGCCAGCUUGAAGCCUUAAAGCAUAUAUCAGCACUACAGCUACGGAUAUUGAAAUUGUGUAACUGCAGACACAGUUAUAUGUGGCUGCAUGGCAAACCCUAUACAAAUGGUUUGUAACUUUUAACUGCAAGCAUCCAUGGAUGACAUAAAAAAAGGGAUCUAAUAUUAAAAAUUUCCAUAUUUAGUCGUUUUUGCCCAAAGCCUUUAAGAUAAAACAUUAUGAGGAGUUUAGUGGGCAUAGCAGGUAACACAUCUUUGGACUUUGGCAAGGGUUGAGAAUGUGGGAAGGAAAAUUUCAAGGACUCCUUUUCCCAGAAUGAAACAGCAAUGGUGGCAGGGCGAGUGUGUAGACUCACCAAACACGGUCAUUUCGGGGUCUUUUCUCAUGCGGCCCAGCGAUGGAUGCGGGUUGAGCCAGACCACUGAGGAAUGCAUGAGAAACUCUCCCAUAGAGAUCUCAGUGACCUGCGACGGACACAAGAGAGGAUUUAGAAGAAAGCGGAGGCAGAGGGAGCAGACAACAACAACAACACAGACUUUUGGCUUUUCAUUGCUGUGUGAGAUACAUACUAACUACCCAUGUCUAUGAAUGAAUGGAGCUCCGCAGACACUACAAACUAGUGUUUCCGCAUGGGGUGCAAGCUGAUUUUCAAGCAAACCUUUGUCUGGUUUUUAUUUGAGAGCUGCUAAACACAUUGAAAACAUACACUAUUCUAGACAGCAUUAUUUAGCAUUCACUUUGAAUAUUUAUGCAGUGGUUACCAACUAAAUAUUCCAUCAAUUUGUAAAUGUAUUCAACCCCCAGAGGCAAUGAACAGAAGACAGCGUAAACAACAUAAGCUUAACAGCUCCACUCUGAUGUACUGAUAGAUAACUGGAUUGAAGAAGUUUAAACUGUGAUAAGAAUUAAGUAUUUGUAUAUUGUAGCAGGUGUCCUGCAAAAUGAUGGACGCUAUGCCAAUCUCACCAAGGCAACUUGGUAUUUACUAUGCCUGGUGAUUAAGAAUUUGAUGUGUAUCUACCUCUU